RNAcentral lists this ribosomal RNA (459 nucleotides) under Salmonella enterica subsp. enterica serovar Infantis. RNAcentral's name for it is "bacterial SSU rRNA". It matches the Rfam family "Bacterial small subunit ribosomal RNA", at positions 1 to 456 of the family's 1533-position model. Lineage: Bacteria; Pseudomonadati; Pseudomonadota; Gammaproteobacteria; Enterobacterales; Enterobacteriaceae. The record is from RNAcentral. RNAcentral also lists the same sequence under 80 other names.
AAAUUGAAGAGUUUGAUCAUGGCUCAGAUUGAACGCUGGCGGCAGGCCUAACACAUGCAAGUCGAACGGUAACAGGAAGCAGCUUGCUGCUUUGCUGACGAGUGGCGGACGGGUGAGUAAUGUCUGGGAAACUGCCUGAUGGAGGGGGAUAACUACUGGAAACGGUGGCUAAUACCGCAUAACGUCGCAAGACCAAAGAGGGGGACCUUCGGGCCUCUUGCCAUCAGAUGUGCCCAGAUGGGAUUAGCUUGUUGGUGAGGUAACGGCUCACCAAGGCGACGAUCCCUAGCUGGUCUGAGAGGAUGACCAGCCACACUGGAACUGAGACACGGUCCAGACUCCUACGGGAGGCAGCAGUGGGGAAUAUUGCACAAUGGGCGCAAGCCUGAUGCAGCCAUGCCGCGUGUAUGAAGAAGGCCUUCGGGUUGUAAAGUACUUUCAGCGGGGAGGAAGGUGUUG